Molecule: unclassified non-coding RNA, 240 nt
Filed under: soil metagenome
Description: partial contains 5.8S ribosomal RNA, internal transcribed spacer 2, and large subunit ribosomal RNA
Source: RNAcentral
AACAUCGCGCACCUGCGGGAACCUGCGGAAGGAUCAUUAAUGAUUGGUGGCUGUUGCUGACUAGUGUUUCUAGUAUGUGCACGCCACACCUUCAAUCCCACUUACACCUGUGCACCUUCUGUAAUAGAUCUAUGUGGAUACGGAGAUAUGAAAGUUCGCGCUCUCGUACUCUGUUGAAGCAGUCUACUACGUUUUUUUACACACACACAAUAGUCAUUGAAUGUAUUUUUUAUUCUUAUG